Non-coding RNA from Cinara cedri, 264 nucleotides. The record is from the annotation of a GenBank genome assembly. Lineage: Eukaryota; Metazoa; Arthropoda; Insecta; Hemiptera; Aphididae.
GUGUAAGUCUUUAACAUUGGGGAAGAUUCAAUAAAAAAAUAAGUUUUUUUACAAUUAUAUAACACAUUAUUAUGUGAGAAUUUUUGAUAAAAUAAGUGAGCUGGUUCCUGAAAAGAUUAAUGACUCAUAGUCUGGGUAUUUUUUAAGCAGAAUUCUGUGUAAAAAUAGACACAGUAAAAUUUUUCUGGGUGUCCACUAGAUAGUAGUGAACACCCAGUGUACAUGGUAAAUUAAUGAAUCAGUAAAAUGUAUCAUAAAAUAUUU